UGGGGAAUAUUGGACAAUGGGCGAAAGCCUGAUCCAGCCAUGCCGCGUGUGUGAAGAAGGUCUUCGGAUUGUAAAGCACUUUAAGUUGGGAGGAAGGGCAUUAACCUAAUACGUUAGUGUUUUGACGUUACCGACAGAAUAAGCACCGGCUAACUCUGUGCCAGCAGCCGCGGUAAUACAGCGGGUGCAAGCGUUAAUCGGAAUUACUGGGCGUAAAGCGCGCGUAGGUGGUUUGUUAAGUUGGAUGUGAAAUCCCCGGGCUCAACCUGGGAACUGCAUCCAAAACUGGCAAGCUAGAGUAGGGCAGAGGGUGGUGGAAUUUCCUGUGUAGCGGUGAAAUGCGUAGAUAUAGGAAGGAACACCAGUGGCGAAGGCGACCACCUGGGCUCAUACUGACACUGAGGUGCGAAAGCGUGGGGAGCAAAC
RNAcentral lists this ribosomal RNA (426 nucleotides) under uncultured bacterium. RNAcentral's name for it is "bacterial SSU rRNA". It matches the Rfam family "Bacterial small subunit ribosomal RNA", at positions 355 to 773 of the family's 1533-position model. The record is from RNAcentral.